AGAAAAACCACAAGUGAGGGACAUUAUACAAAAUACCUCACAAACACUCCUCAAAACUCUUUAUGCCAUCAAAAAACAAGGAAGGUCUGAGAAACUAGCACAGCAAAGAUAUGCCUAAGGAGACACGUUGACCCAAUUUCACGAAAGUGCAGCCUGAGUUGGCGUGGGGUGCCCUUCAUCAUUCUCUCAUCUUCCCUGCUCUCUUGUUUGCUCCUCUGGCCUCCAGUCCAGUCUCCUGGAUGUGUAUCAGCUGUUGGCUGUAAACUGCUAGUCUUUCAAAACUCCAAUGGGGAAGAGUCCUGGAGUCCUAAAUAGCAAUUAAUCUUGGGUAUUCAGACACUUUAAAGUUCAGGCCUAUCAGGGAUGCAUGUAGCAAUGGAAUGAAAGGCUUCACCUGGAGUCUGAUGAGGGCUGCAGUCGUGCAGAAGUUAUAAAAGGACAUAACUAUUGUUCAUGAGCUAGCACAGAAGAGGAAGGGACCAUGGAGAUGGACAGCAGCUCCCUCUUUCUGUCCUCCCUCUCCUGGCUUUGGCUGAAUACAAUCGGAAGCCCCCUUGCACGAGGACCUGGAUGACAUAGAGGCCCCUUUCUUGGGGCAGAGUGUCAGAUGGACAGAGCCAGUGGGAGAUG
Pongo pygmaeus (Bornean orangutan) is the source of this 630-nucleotide long non-coding RNA. RefSeq lists it as uncharacterized. The record is from RefSeq and is a predicted model, not a curated record. The transcript is spliced from 3 exons. Lineage: Eukaryota; Metazoa; Chordata; Mammalia; Primates; Hominidae.